GGGAACACAUCACCAAUGAUAUCUGCAAGAGGAUGUUCCCAUGGUCAAGCUUGUGACCGAAAACAAAGCACUGUUGGGAGAUAGCCCGGAUUAUCAUAGAUUUCCCUUUCAAAUAAAAGCAAGAACAUUUUUUUAGGAUAAGUUUUCCUUAGGGUAUUUUUCGUCGCUGACCAUUUCAGGUGGAUAUCAAGAAGAAUGAUGGAUAGGUGAUGCCUAAGAACAUGGGAGCUACAUCGACUACAACACCUCGGUAAGUUUUGUUGAGGGAACGAUUUAGGAAGCUUGAACUCCACACACUUGAAUUGUGUUGCCCAACAAUCCAAACUCCAAGUGUGGGGGAGGUAUGUGAGUAUCUCGAGUAAAGUUCCUCCCGUGCCAAAUCUAAUCUUGGUUUGGAGAUGGUGUUGGUUCUUGCAUCUUGCCCCAUAAAAAAAGAGGAGUUACCAUGGCGACGAUUCAAAAUUAUUCAUCACCCAAACACCAUGGUAAGUACCCUCAGGUACGUCCUGCUUUUGACUUUAAACAAAGCCCUUCCGAGAGGUAGCCCGAACUUCACCAAUCUUAUACUUAUGUUUAUCUACCUCUUGAAUAUAGCUUGAUCAUGCUUUCAUGCUUCCUUUAUCU
RNAcentral lists this long non-coding RNA (624 nucleotides) under Setaria viridis. RNAcentral's name for it is "long non-coding RNA (SVIR_LNC007694)". Lineage: Eukaryota; Viridiplantae; Streptophyta; Magnoliopsida; Poales; Poaceae. The record is from RNAcentral.